RNAcentral lists this ribosomal RNA (464 nucleotides) under uncultured bacterium. RNAcentral describes it as "partial 16S ribosomal RNA". It matches the Rfam family "Bacterial small subunit ribosomal RNA", at positions 28 to 507 of the family's 1533-position model. The record is from RNAcentral.
GACGAACGCUGGCGGCGUGCUUAACACAUGCAAGUCGAACGGAAAGGCCCUGCUUGCAGGGUACUCGAGUGGCGAACGGGUGAGUAACACGUGGGUGAUCUGCCCUGCACUUCGGGAUAAGCCUGGGAAACUGGGUCUAAUACCGGAUAGGAGCCAUUUUUAGUGUGAUGGUUGGAAAGUUUUUCGGUGUAGGAUGGGCUCGCGGCCUAUCAGCUUGUUGGUGGGGUAAUGGCCUACCAAGGCGGCGACGGGUAGCCGGCCUGAGAGGGUGGACGGCCACAUUGGGACUGAGAUACGGCCCAGACUCCUACGGGAGGCAGCAGUGGGGAAUAUUGCACAAUGGGCGCAAGCCUGAUGCAGCGACGCCGCGUGGGGUAUGACGGCCUUCGGGUUGUAAACUCCUUUCGCUAGGGACGAAGCUUUUUGCGACGGUACCUAGAUAAGAAGCACCGGCUAACUACGUG